GUGGGGAAUCUUGCGCAAUGGGCGAAAGCCUGACGCAGCCAUGCCGCGUGGAUGAUGAAGGUCUUAGGAUUGUAAAAUCCUUUCACCGGUGAAGAUAAUGACUGUAGCCGGAGAAGAAGCCCCGGCUAACUUCGUGCCAGCAGCCGCGGUAAUACGAAGGGGGCUAGCGUUGCUCGGAUUUACUGGGCGUAAAGGGCGCGUAGGCGGACAGUUAAGUCAGGGGUGAAAUCCCGGGGCUCAACCUCGGAACUGCCUUUGAUACUGGGUGUCUUGAGUAUGUGAGCGGUGUGUGGAACUCCGGGUGUAGGGGUGAAAUUCGUAGAUAUUCGGAAGAACACCAGUGGCGAAGGCGACACACUGGCUCAUUACUGACGCUAAGGCGCGAAAGCGUGGGGAGCAAACAGGAUUAGAAACCCGGGUAGUCC
RNAcentral lists this ribosomal RNA (425 nucleotides) under uncultured bacterium. RNAcentral describes it as "partial 16S ribosomal RNA". It matches the Rfam family "Bacterial small subunit ribosomal RNA", at positions 354 to 796 of the family's 1533-position model. The record is from RNAcentral.